UACGGAGGUGGCAAGCGUUGCUCGGAAUCACUGGGCGUAAAGGGCGCGUAGGCGGGGAGGUAAGUCGGGUGUGAAAUCCCUCGGCCCAACCGAGGAACUGCGCCCGAGACUGCUUCUCUUGAGUCCCGGAGAGGAAGAUGGAAUUCCCGGUGUAGCGGUGAAAUUCGUAGAUAUCCGGAAGAACACCAGUGGCGAAGGCGACUCACUGGACACAUAUUGACGCUGAGGUGCGAAAGCGUGGGGAGCAAACAGG
RNAcentral lists this ribosomal RNA (253 nucleotides) under uncultured bacterium. Its description in RNAcentral is "partial 16S ribosomal RNA". It matches the Rfam family "Bacterial small subunit ribosomal RNA", at positions 524 to 776 of the family's 1533-position model. The record is from RNAcentral.